This is an RNA transcript of Sciurus carolinensis (gray squirrel), 4653 nucleotides long. It is a transcript of the gene named FAD dependent oxidoreductase domain containing 2, with no coding region annotated. The record is from RefSeq and is a predicted model, not a curated record. The transcript has 10 exons. NCBI's taxonomy places the organism in Eukaryota, Metazoa, Chordata, Mammalia, Rodentia, Sciuridae.
GCCACCGCCCAGCGCGAGCUUGGCGAUCCGCCUCACUCGACUGCGGCCUGCGGUCCGAGCGGUCGCGAGGUUCGAGCUCCGCCGGGGCGGCGGGCGGCGGCGCCGGGCCGGAGCGCAGCCUGUCCUCGCGCACGCGCAGACAGCAGCCACCGGGGCGCGCGCGGCGCGGACAGGAUGGGCGUCUCCGCCGCCGCCCCGCUCUGGGGCCCCCCGGGGCUGCUCCUAACGCUGGUCCUGCACCCGACUGUGUGCGUGCGCUCCCACUGGGACUACUGCGUGCUGGGCGCGGGGCCCGCGGGCCUGCAGAUGGCCGCCUUCCUGCAGCGGGCUGGAAGAGACUACGUGGUCUUCGAGCGCGCCCCGGCCCCGGGCAGCUUCUUCACGCGCUACCCGCGGCACCGAAAGCUCAUCAGCAUCAACAAGCGCUACACAGGAAAGGUCAACGCCGAGUUCAACCUCCGCCACGACUGGAACUCGCUACUCAGCCACGAUCCCCGGCUCCUCUUCAGACACUACUCCCGCGCCUACUUCCCUGAUGCCGGCGACAUGGUGCGCUACCUGGGCGACUUCGCCGACAGGCUGGGGCUCCACGUGCUGUACAACACCACCAUCACCCAUGUCACCCUAGACAAGGACCAGAGGGCCUGGAACGGCCACUACUUCAUCCUGACUGGCCAGAAGGGCCAGACAUACCAGUGCAGUGUCCUUCUUGUGGCCACUGGUGUGUCAGUUCCCAACCAGGUUGACUUCCCUGGCUCCGAGUAUGCGGAGGGUUAUGAGUCCGUGUCCGUAGACCCUGAGGACUUUGUGGGUCAGAACGUGCUGAUCCUGGGCCGUGGGAACUCAGCCUUUGAGACGGCAGAGAACAUCUUGGGCGUCACAAACUUUAUCCACAUGCUGAGCCGCUCCCGGGUGCGGCUUUCCUGGGCUACCCACUACGUUGGAGACCUCAGAGCCAUCAACAAUGGCCUGCUGGACACCUACCAGCUCAAGUCCCUGGACGGGCUUCUCGAGUCAGACCUGACCGAUCUGGCCAUCGUGAAGGACCACGAGGGCAAGUUCCACAUCACCCUGAAGUUCUUCCUGGAGGAAACCAGCGCCAACCAGAGUGCGGACUCCGUCACCCUCCCGCAGGAGGACAACGACAACUUUGCCAUGCGCGUAGCCUACGACCGGGUCAUCCGCUGCCUGGGCUGGAAAUUCGACUUCUCCAUCUUCAACCAGUCCCUCAGACUCAGCUCCGGGAGCGAGUUCAGCAAGAAGUACCCACUGAUCAGAGCCAGCUAUGAGUCCAAAGGCAGCCGCGGCCUCUUCAUCCUGGGCACUGCCAGCCACUCGGUGGACUACCGCAGAUCUGCUGGGGGCUUCAUCCACGGGUUCCGGUACACAGCGCGUGCUGUCCAUCGGCUGCUGGAGCAUCGGCACCACGGCGUGGCCUGGCCCUCCACUCAGCUGCCCAUCACCCAGCUGACCAGCGCCAUCAUCCGGCGCGUCAACGAGGCUUCUGGGCUCUACCAGAUGUUCGGUGUGCUGGCUGAUGUCAUCCUGCUGAGGGAGAACGCCACGGCCUUCGAGUACCUGGAGGAGCUCCCGGCGCAGACGCUGGCCCAGCUGGGGACGCUCACGGGCAGGACGGCCAGGCACGGGCUCUUCGUGCUCAGCAUGGAGUACGGCAAGAACUUCUCGGGACCCGACAAGGACGUCUUCUUCCACGACCGGUCCGUGGGGCACACGGAGGACGCCUGGCUGUCCAACUUCCUCCACCCCGUCGUCUACUACUACCGACGCCUGCCCACCGAGCAGGAGGUGAGGUUCCGCCCCGCACACUGGCCCCUGCCGCGGCCCACGGCCAUCCACCACAUCGUGGAAGACUUCCUGACCGACUGGACGGCGCCCGUGGGACACAUCCUGCCCCUGCGGCGCUUCCUGGAGAACUGCCUGGCCACUGACUUGCGGAGCUUCUACGCAGAAUCCUGCUUCCUGUUCGCCCUCACGCGCCAGAAGCUGCCCCCCUUUUGCCAGCAGGGCUACCUGAGAGGGCAGGGGCUCGUGAGCACCGAGAGCCUUCGGCGGCACGGAGUGGACAGCGGGCUGCUGCAGGACCACGCCGCCGCGGACCACCUGGAUGGCAGCCGGCAGCCUGGCCACCACAGGCUGGGAGGUCACCCCCCGGCUCCGGUGCCUGCACUCGAGUCCCUUGACGGCAACAGGGAGGAGCUCUGACCGUCCGUCCUGGGCCGGGGGCACGGGGCCAGGCUACCCCACAGGCCACGGUCAGCCCUCCCCCGCAGGCCCCCUUCUGCUGAUGCGUGACUGCCCACGGCCACUCAGGUCCUCAGCGUGGCGGCACCAAGGCUAUCUGCAGGGCGAGCAGAGGCUGGGCUGCCGCAGUGGGGUGGUCUCCCUGCCGGCCUGGUACCAGGAAGUGGCUCAGAGGCGUCCUCUGCCGCGUGUGCACUGCCUUCCCGGGCCAAGCUCUCUCCAGCCAGACCACCGCUGAGCACCAGGCUCCCCCCUCUGUCCCCUUGGAGGGCCCACCUGCUCCUGUUCCUUCCACUCCACUCUUCACAUGGGCCUGGGUCCCACCUGGGGACCCUUCACUGGUGAGACCCUUCAUCAGGGUUGAAGGAGGCACUUCCAACGGAAGCUCAGUAUCCUCAACAUAACGGGCCGGUGGCACCGUGGCCCCCAGCCUACCGCCAGGCGCUCCAACUCGGGGAUGCUGAGUCCCACCCAGGGUACGUGGCCUCUGCUCCCAGCAGCCUUUGGUCUUGGCAGCAGAACUCAGGGGUCCAGCCUGGCUCAUCCUCGGGCCAUCGGGCUGGCACGAUGGAGAGAAGCCCCUGAAGGCCAGCUGGUCUAAGCGGGUCCUCGCAGAGGAGCAGACGCAGAGCCGGCUCUCCCCGGCCCCGCCCCAGCCACUCUGCUCCCUGGGACCUCUGCCCUGCGCCCUCGCUCCCCGGGCCUCUGGCACCCUGAAGCACCUUGGUUGGACCCACCCUGCCCACGUUAGUGAAGCUGUUCUGCUGCUGUCCCGUGCCACACGCACCAGGGGACACCCACAGCACAGAGGCUCCUGUGUGGCAGCCAUGGUGAGUCCAUUCAUGGCCCCCUUCGUGCCAGCCGCUCUUCCUUGCCCCUCACCCUGGGGCACUUUUCUCAUUCCCAAGGCGACGCCUGCACUCGCUGGGCCUGGGCCUGGCUAGUUCUUCACGCAGGUUUCCAAAACCCCAGGGCACAGGCCACUGGACCCAAAGCCCCUUCCCAGGCGCACCCUCUUCCCCUCCGGCCAGUUGCAAAGCCCCUUAGCCUCCUGGCCUGGCCGCCGCUGUGUGCUGACAGUCACGCUCCCUCCUGUCCCUGGCAGAGUUGCAACCUUGCACUGCAGCACCUUGCCAGCAGGGGGCGACUUGCCCCACCCUACCUGGGGCAGUUUGCACGGGGCUGAAACUAACAAAUGAAGGCUUUCUCCCUAAUCCCGGGUGCGGAAUUCGCAGAGCGUCAUGCAUGUCACAGGCAGGCCCGAGUAGGGGCCCGAGGCCCACCGUCUUCCAAGGCACGCCUUCAGUUCAGGACUGUGCUACGGUGCCAGGCAGCCCUGCUCCAGCCCUGGGGCAGGUGGAGUUCGAGGUGCUGUGACAAGUGGUUGGUGCGCAAGCGUGUGACAUCUGCUGCUGCUCCCUCGUCUGCCAAGUCACCCACCCACCAGAAGACCAGCCAGCCUUGUUUGCCUCUAAAGACCGAUUCCCUCCUGCUCAGUUGAUUGGAGAAUCUCUGAUUCUUUUUUCCCUGGCGCUGGGGCUUGAACCAGGGCCCUGUGCACGCGAGGCAAGCGCUCUACCAACCAAGCUACUUCCUCGGCCUGACUCUUUUUAGUGAGAUCUCUGGCAUUUGCAGGAGCAGUCGCUGCGGUCCCCACCCCUUUCCUUAGCCCACCUCAGGUGCCCGUGGCUUAGGGGUGCGGGGGGCAGGCGGCUGCCGCCUUCCUGGGUGUUGGAGUCGUAUUUUCUUUUCUCUUCUUAUAUUUGUGUUGGUUUUCGGUUCUGGGGACUGAACCCCGUCCUGGAGUAGGUGGGCACACUGCACCACCCAGUUACCCCUGGGCUCUGGAUCUGCGAAUGGACAUCUGUUGGGUGCACAGGCAGCGAGUCCUGUGGCGCUGCAGCCACAGGCCAGCUCUCCGAUGCCGAUGGAAGGGACUCACGUUUCCACUUUCAGGCCUUGGUUCAUGCUUUUGGCAAGUCUGAGCAGCGCAGGAGCGGAGCUUGUCCAGCUGGACCAACUUCCUCUUUCAACUGAGGCCUGACUUCAAUAAUUCCUUCUUUUUUUAAUAUAGAGUUACUACCAUUUAUCUGUUAAUGAAUUUGAACUUAUUGUCAAAUCUUUUUCACAAAAAUAUAUUCCAGGUCCAGAUGGAAUUGAAAAUUAAUUUUUUUGCAAUAUUUAAAACUUGGAGUAUGACAUAGAAAAAAAAAUAGAGUUACUGGUGCAAAAUAAACAAGCCAGUGAAACAAUCUGUCAUAUGUAGGCAUUUUAAAUUUAAAAAGAAGUGAUUUUAAAAGGAAUCAUGCCAGAUGCAGUGGCACACACCUGUAAUCCCAGUGACUCGGGAGGCUGAGGCAGGAGGACCUCAAGUUUGAGGCCAGCCUCAGC